GGGGGACCUUCGGGCCUCUUGCCAUCAGAUGUGCCCAGAUGGGAUUAGCUUGUUGGUGAGGUAACGGCUCACCAAGGCGACGAUCCCUAGCUGGUCUGAGAGGAUGACCAGCCACACUGGAACUGAGACACGGUCCAGACUCCUACGGGAGGCAGCAGUGGGGAAUAUUGCACAAUGGGCGCAAGCCUGAUGCAGCCAUGCCGCGUGUAUGAAGAAGGCCUUCGGGUUGUAAAGUACUUUCAGCGGGGAGGAAGGUGUUGUGGUUAAUAACCGCAGCAAUUGACGUUACCCGCAGAAGAAGCACCGGCUAACUCCGUGCCAGCAGCCGCGGUAAUACGGAGGGUGCAAGCGUUAAUCGGAAUUACUGGGCGUAAAGCGCACGCAGGCGGUCUGUCAAGUCGGAUGUGAAAUCCCCGGGCUCAACCUGGGAACUGCAUUCGAAACUGGCAGGCUUGAGUCUUGUAGAGGGGGGUAGAAUUCCAGGUGUAGCGGUGAAAUGCGUAGAGAUCUGGAGGAAUACCGGUGGCGAAGGCGGCCCCCUGGACAAAGACUGACGCUCAGGUGCGAAAGCGUGGGGAGCAAACAGGAUU
RNAcentral lists this ribosomal RNA (590 nucleotides) under Salmonella enterica. Its description in RNAcentral is "bacterial SSU rRNA". It matches the Rfam family "Bacterial small subunit ribosomal RNA", at positions 194 to 779 of the family's 1533-position model. The record is from RNAcentral. Lineage: Bacteria; Pseudomonadati; Pseudomonadota; Gammaproteobacteria; Enterobacterales; Enterobacteriaceae.